This 594-nucleotide ribosomal RNA is filed under the name uncultured bacterium. RNAcentral's name for it is "partial 16S ribosomal RNA". It matches the Rfam family "Bacterial small subunit ribosomal RNA", at positions 355 to 936 of the family's 1533-position model. The record is from RNAcentral.
UGGGGAAUAUUGCACAAUGGGCGCAAGCCUGAUGCAGCCAUGCCGCGUGUGUGAAGAAGGCCUUAGGGUUGUAAAGCACUUUCAGCGAGGAGGAAGGCAUCACACUUAAUACGUGUGGUGAUUGACGUUACUCGCAGAAGAAGCACCGGCUAACUCCGUGCCAGCAGCCGCGGUAAUACGGAGGGUGCAAGCGUUAAUCGGAAUUACUGGGCGUAAAGCGCACGCAGGCGGUUUGUUAAGUCAGAUGUGAAAUCCCCGCGCUUAACGUGGGAACUGCAUUUGAAACUGGCAAGCUAGAGUCUUGUAGAGGGGGGUAGAAUUCCAGGUGUAGCGGUGAAAUGCGUAGAGAUCUGGAGGAAUACCGGUGGCGAAGGCGGCCCCCUGGANAAAGACUGACGCUCAGGUGCGAAAGCGUGGGGAGCAAACAGGGAUUAGAGUACCCAUGGUAGUCCCACGCUGUAAAACCGAUGUCGACUUGGAGGUUGUGCCCUUGAGGCGUGGCUUCCGGAGCUAACGCGUUAAGUCGACCGCCUGGGGAGUACGGCCGCAAGGUUAAACUCAAAUGAAUUGACGGGGGUCAUAGCAUGUUUCCUG